CUACGGAGGGUGCAAGCGUUACUCGGAAUCACUGGGCGUAAAGCGCGCGCAGGCGGUCUUUUAAGUUGGAUGUGAAAGCCUACGGCUCAACCGUAGAACUGCAUCCAAAACUAUUAGACUAGAGUGUGGGAGAGGAAGAUGGAAUUAGUCGUGUAGGGGUAAAAUCCGUAGAGAUAACUAGGAAUACCAAAAGCGAAGGCAAUCUUCUGGAACACUACUGACGCUGAGGCGCGAAAGCGUGGGGAGCAAACAGGAUUAGAAACCCCAGUAGUCC
RNAcentral lists this ribosomal RNA (274 nucleotides) under uncultured bacterium. Its description in RNAcentral is "partial 16S ribosomal RNA". It matches the Rfam family "Bacterial small subunit ribosomal RNA", at positions 523 to 796 of the family's 1533-position model. The record is from RNAcentral.